This 559-nucleotide ribosomal RNA is filed under the name Austronemoura sp. BYU_PL149. Its description in RNAcentral is "partial 16S ribosomal RNA". It matches the Rfam family "Bacterial large subunit ribosomal RNA", at positions 1796 to 2622 of the family's 2925-position model. The record is from RNAcentral. Lineage: Eukaryota; Metazoa; Arthropoda; Insecta; Plecoptera; Notonemouridae.
UCGCCUGUUUAUCAAAAACAUGUCUUCUUGAUUAUUAAUUUGAAGUCUGACCUGCCCACUGAGUUUGACUUAAAGGGCCGCGGUAUUUUGACCGUGCAAAGGUAGCAUAAUCAUUAGUCUCUUAAUUAGAGGCUAGAAUGAAUGGUUGGACGAGGUAUUGACUGUCUCAAUGUAGAUGAAAUUAGAAUUUAACGUUUAAGUUAAAAGGCUUAAAUAAAUUUAAAGGACGAGAAGACCCUAUAGAGCUUUAUAUUAAUAUUUUAUUAUAAAUUUAGUUGAAUUAUUGUUAUAUCUAUAUUAAUAUUUUGUUGGGGUGACAGGAAGAUAUAUUAAACUCUUUUUAAAGUUUUACCAUUAAUUUAUGAUUAAUUGAUCCAUUAUUAGUGAUUAUAAGACGAAGUUACCUUAGGGAUAACAGCGUAAUCUUUUUUGAGAGUUCUUAUCGACAAAAAGGGUUGCGACCUCGAUGUUGGAUUAAGGGUAAUUUUGGGUGUAGAUGUUCAAAGUUUAGGUCUGUUCGACCUUUAAAUCCUUACAUGAUCUGAGUUCAAACCGGAGA